Molecule: ribosomal RNA, 21 nt
Filed under: Diaporthe caulivora
Lineage: Eukaryota; Fungi; Ascomycota; Sordariomycetes; Diaporthales; Diaporthaceae
Description: partial large subunit ribosomal RNA
Source: RNAcentral
UUGACCUCUGAAUCAGUAGGA